This 4966-nucleotide long non-coding RNA is filed under the name Marmota monax (woodchuck). Lineage: Eukaryota; Metazoa; Chordata; Mammalia; Rodentia; Sciuridae. The record is from RNAcentral.
CUUCAGUCUAAAGAGUUAAUACAACAGCAGUAAAGCCAUUUCUGCGGGGCGGGUGACGUAUGCCUAUAAUCCCAGUGGCUUAGGAGGCUAAGGAAAGAGGAUUAUAAAUUCAAAGCCAGCCUCAGCAAAAGCUAAGCAACUCAGUGAGACCCUGUCUCUAAAUAAAAUACAAAAUAGGGCUGGGGAUGUGGCUCAGUGGUUGAGUGCCCCUGAGUUCAAUCCCUGGUACCCUCCCCUCCAAAAAAAGAAUAAAGCCAUUUCCAAAGUUACUUUUAUAGGAAUACUCAGCUUUUUGUGAAAUUCUCCAUAGAAAAAUAUGCAAGAAAAUGAUUUAAAAAAAAAAAAACCUAUGUUCUCUGGAUUCUCUUGUUGCAGUUUUUCUUCAGAAUUUUGACUAAAACCCUCAUUGUCUUCCCAGAGUUGUUUCUGUUCUUCAACAUGUGCCCAAAAAUAAAUUAGAAAAAUUCCUUCCAUUAGCAUGCCUUUCUGGAUGAAUUGGCCUUUAGGCUAAAUAGAGGUAAUUUUUUUAAAGUAUCCUCAUUAUUCUGAUACUUUAGACUGUUGGGAGAUUCAAUUUACAGGACAGAAAAAAACAAAACAGUAAGAAACUAAUCCCUGCCCCUCAGGGUCACAGAUCACAUGUCCUGUCUCCUCCAGCUUUAACCAGCAGCACAUGGUACUCAGGCUGAGGACAGAUGGAGAAGAGGAGGACAGCAUGACCUCAUCCCAGAGUCCAUAGAAAGUUCUGUCAUUAGUUGGUCAGAUUAGCUGGACUUAGUGCCCUCACCCUUGUGUAGGAAGGGACAGUGUUCUCUCCACUUAGCCCAGAGGUUUGGAGUGUGGCCCAUUAGGUCUCAUUCAGAACCUCCCCUUGGUUCCUCCAAGCCGUGUACUUUUGUCCUGUGUAUUACUCAGGGUUCUGGAGAGAGAGAUGAAAGGAUUUGGAGAGUGGGUCAUGUGAUUAUGGAGGCCUAGAAGUUUCACACAUCUGGGGUACCAGCAACGUGGCUCAGUCCAUAUAUGAAGGCCUCAGAACCAGGGAAGCUGAUCAGGUGACUCGGAGACUGAAGGCUGAGAAUUCAGGGGCUGCUGGCGUGAGUCUUGAAGUUCAGAGACCACAGGACCUGGAGUUCUAAUGUCCAAGGAUAGGAGAAGACUGUCCCAGCUUCAGGAGGGAGAGUCCAUGGCGUCCCCAGCCAGCUAGAUGGUGCUUACUGACCUCAAAGGUGGAUUUCCCCCUCCAGCUCACACACCAGUCUUCCAGGAGCACCCUCAGAGCAGUGCCUUGCCAGUCCUCUAGGUGUUCUUGGUACAGUCAAGUUGACACCUGAAGUCAGCUGACACAGCUGGAGAGAAGAAAGUCUCUUCUCCCUUCCUCAGAGAGGUAGGCCUUGAUCAAAACUCUUUCUGAGCAGUCGGACCAUUGCAUAGCCAGAUUCCUCCCAUCCUAGGGUCUAGCUGCAGAAGGUAGCAGGUCAUUUGCCAGGGCCUCUAGCCACAUUUCCUCACUACAAAAGAAUGAGAAGGGAGGCAUUCACAGUGGAAAUGCAAGGACUGGAGACUUUCUCUGUGUUGAACUCAGCACUAUGGGUUCUUCCUUAGUCCAGAAAGUAUCCUGGCUCCCAGUGCUUGUUGGUAUUGGGUUGGGAGCAGGCAUCUUGGAAGCUGAGACUCACUGGUCUGGUUGUGCCUUGACAGUGGCUUUGACAUUCUGGUGACUGCCUGUGGCUGGGUCUGUGGGAAGUGGGGCUGUCUCAUGGCUUCUAGCACUCCCUGCCUGGCUUAGAGACACUGAUGCACCUUCUCUUUGCUUUGGUUUUACCUUGGAGAAAGCUGCAGUCAGAGAAGGUAGUCAGCUGUUGUUAACACAGCGAGAAGUGACUGUUGGGGCCACGGGUUGGGCGUCCCUUGUCUAAGAUGCUUGGGACCACAGUGUUUUUCAUUUUGGAAUAUUUGUGUGUACGUGAUGAUACCCUGGGGACAAGCCCGCAUCUUCACCCAGGCUGUUCAUGCUUCAUAGCACCCUGUGCUGCGUCUUUGCUGAGCCUCCAUUGUAACUACAGGCUGUCACGUGUGGUCAGUGCAGGCUUUUCCACUAGAGGUGUCAUGUUGGCACUCAGAAAGGGUUUCACUUGUUUUGAGGAAAGGAAUGCAUUAGGCUUGGCACCUUAAAAUGAGAAACAGCCAUGUUUGGAGUCCCAGUCCAGUUGGACAGACCCUGGGGAUUAAUAUAAUCAUUGUAUGUAAUAAAAAUUUGUCAUGACCCAUCUGCCAGUACUUUGGAUAGCUAACUUAAUUUGCCUUUAUAUUCUGAAUAACUGGAAACCCUUGGUAUCAGAGAAUAUUAGUGUGCUGCUUUGUGCUUCCUUAUUCAGGCUCUGUUUCUCUGUGUUGGAAGGAAAAGGUGAGGCAUGGUGUAGCUGUCACUUAUUCCACUGAUCCAAGAGCUGUUAAUACAUUUCUUUCUAAAACUUCUUUGUGUAUGUUUUAUUUAGCUCAAUGCAGCUUAGGAUUUCUUCUUGUGACUGGGAAUCUUGGACUGGAACAAAAAAAAAAAAAAGGUUUUCUGACUCUGAUGACCCCUGGGGUUUGCGUGCUGGCAGAAGCUUCUGCUCUUGCCAGGUUUGCCAUUUUGCUGAUAAACACAACUAGGUGACACCUGAUCAGAGUUGCAUGUGCCAAGCCAGAGACGAGGAUGGAAGAAGGUGGCCUCUCUGGUUUUCUAAAGAAGAAGGCCCCCAGAGGACACAUAGCCAGACUUUCAAACCAGUGGGCUAUAGUCUGUGUAUAGCAUCUUUGAGAGAGGAAAAUGAUUAACCUCCUGUGGAGGCCAUGGCAUUCUACUGAGCUGCCAUUUAGCACCAGAAGACCUCACGCCUACUUGUUGAGCCCAGGUGAAGUUUUUCUUAGAAAAAACUCCCAUGUCCUGACUGUGUGCCGGGCUUUGGAGAAACACUGGUAUCUGUGAUUGGAGGAGGGCCUCCGACACAGGGAAGCACUGUAAACUAUUGGGAGGCUCUUUCUCAGCUGUCCAGACCAAUGGCUUUACACCUGGAGACAUUUUUUUGUUGUAAAAUAAAUAAUCAAAUUGUGUGUCUCCCUGCUUCCCUCAUUCUUUGGGGGAGUCUAUAUUUGAUUACUGCUGUCACAGGACCUAAUUUUGCAUGUCUAAUUUUAAAAAUGCAUUUUUGAACUGGGCAUGGUGGAACACACCUGUAAUUCUAGCUACUGAGGCAGGAAGAUCGCAAGUUCAAGGCCAGCCUGGGAAAAUCACACCCUUUCUCGAAAUUAAAAAAUAAAAAGAGCUGGGGAUGUAGCUCAGUAGUAAAGCACUCUGGGUUCAAUUUCCAAUGCAAUAAAAAUAAAUAAAGAAUGGGCUGGGGUUGUGACUCAGUGGCAGAGCACUUGCCUAGCACAUGAGAGGCACUGGGUUCCAUCCUCAGUACCAUAUAAAUAAAAUAAAGGUAUGGUGUUCAUACUACUAAAAACCAAAUAUUUGGAAAAUAUGUAUUUUUGAGGAUUGUUCUUGAUCAGCAAAGAAGUUGCAUUUUACUGAGCCACUGAAUCAUCAGAAAAUGUCAUUGUAUUUCACUGCAUGAAGGAAAGUAGCCGCUAUUGGUUUGCUCAGGAUCUUUCCCAUUGUGAUACCAGGGACAAUUUUCUAGUUGUGGAGAAGCUGUUUGGCUGCUUUGUCAGGAGAGAGUGGUGUGCUCUUGGACUUGUCUGGUAACUUCUCUAAUUUUUGUGCUAUCAUCUUGAAAUAGGACAGUCAGAGGUUCUCUGAGGACUGUAAACCUUGUUUUACUUAAAUCUGCCAGGAUUUCUUUCUGGAAUUCCUUUGGUACCUGUUGCCAGGUUUCAAGAGAUUGCUGUGAUACAUACCAUAGAACAGGCCCUCAGUCGGGAAGGUAGAGUCGAGAAAGGUGUGGUGACAGAUGGUCCAGGCCCCCUUGUGUACAGAUUCAGUUCAAGAUCCAAACCAUCAUGUGAAGGGUGUGAGGUGGUGGGCACUAGACUCGCGUGGGCGGGGCUUCAGAUUCCAGUUCUGCCCCUGGCUAGGAUUGCUGUGAGGGUUAAAAGAAGAUAGUAGUCUUCAUGCACAAUGUGCAUCCCCGGGUACAUGGGAGGCCCCCCAAGGGAUCUCCUGAGUGCUAGUAAGAAUUAGGAGAGAGAGGAGUUGUAGAUACAGUUGAUCAUGGUACAGAUGUGUUUAUAAAGUGCUGUUCUACUCCCCAGAGGUGGAUUUUCUUUGCACAAAAAAAAUUCAUAUCUGUAUGUGGAAGUGGAUGAGUAUAGAAUGAUUAGGUUUUUUUGUUUUUUUGAGAGUUUUUUUUUUUUAAAGAUGGACAUAAUAUCUUUCCUUUAUUUAUUUUUUUUUAUGUGGUGCUGAGGAUUGAACCCAGUGCCUCACAUGUGUGAGGCAAGCAUUCUACCACUGAACUAUAACCUCAGCCCUUGAUUAGGUUUUUUUGUUUGUUUUUGUUUUAAUAUGAUCCUGUGCCGCAGUCUGGCUGGGCACAAAUGCCGCAGUCUGGCUGGGCACACAAUCACGAGCCACCACACAGCUUGUAGAUUCAAACAGCAACUCUUUAUUCCCGAACUCACACCAGCCGUCUACAAUCACGUUCUGGGGAAAUCCACGUUCUCUUCCCAAAUCCACCUUCUCUCCCAAAUUCACCUCCACUGGGCUUCUAUCUCCAAAAUAUACUGUCUGAAUCCCGUGAGAACUCAAGGGGAACUCAGGCAGCAGGAUACGCCCUAUUCCCAGCAGGAAUAAUCUUAAACCUUAAACCUGGAACCUAAACUGGGAACGCCCUAAACAAGAUUAUCUUAAAACCGGGAACACCCUAAUCUGCCUUGGUCCUUGAGCAAGGUCACUUACAUUCAAUGUCACUGCAACAUGUCAGCAACAUGGGGUACGCUGGCAAGGAAAUUGUCAUACCUACUUGGCUAAUGGCUCCCAGCA